This is a long non-coding RNA of Daphnia magna, 725 nucleotides long. RefSeq lists it as uncharacterized. The transcript has 5 exons. The record is from RefSeq and is a predicted model, not a curated record. NCBI's taxonomy places the organism in Eukaryota, Metazoa, Arthropoda, Branchiopoda, Diplostraca, Daphniidae.
CAAAUACUAUAUAUAAGUACACGCUGCCAGUACACGAUAUACCAUCUAACGACAGUCGUCUGCUAGGCGUACUUCGUGGUAUUGGUGGCAUUACUAGGUAGUAAUACCUAGUAUUACCUAGUUACCUAGUAAUACCUAGUUUUUUUUUCACUACUUUACCUAGUUCUACUUUACCUAGUUUCUCUCCGGGCUACUUUAGUAAUAGUAAAACCUAGUUUAAAAAAAAAAAUACCUAGUAAUAAGAAAAACAUUACCUAGAACCUGACGCCUGACUGAGUUAGUCUAUCAGUCUAUCUACUGUUUAUUGGAAGUUACAUGCAAUUCUGCACCUGAAUAACUCAAAGUUUAAUAUUGCAGGGACUUAUUUAGUUUGUCUAGCAUUUUUUCAUUGAAAUUGUCACAUCCUAAAGUGAGUCAACUUCAUUUCACUUGCAACUGUUGCAAGCUGCACCUGAAUAACUGGCGUCACAUCCUAAGUGAGUCAAGUAGUCAACUUCAUUUCACUCGCAAGCUGCACAUGAAUAACUUUGAGUGUGACUCUGACGGCCUGAUUAAGUCAGUCCAUCUACUUUUGAUUGACAAUUGUCACAUCAACUUCAUUUCACUCGCAAGCUGCACCUGAAUAACUCUGAGUCUGACUCUGAGACUGACGUAUGAAUUUGUUCAUAGUUUUAAUAGCAUUUCUUAUUUAUUAGAAAUACAGAAAGAAUAAUCAAAGAAUCAAA